RNAcentral lists this non-coding RNA (144 nucleotides) under uncultured Roseovarius sp. RNAcentral's name for it is "FMN riboswitch (RFN element)". It matches the Rfam family "FMN riboswitch aptamer (RFN element)". Rfam says of the family: The RFN element is a highly conserved domain that is found frequently in the 5'-untranslated regions of prokaryotic mRNAs that encode for flavin mononucleotide (FMN) biosynthesis and transport proteins. This element is a metabolite-dependent riboswitch that directly binds FMN in the absence of proteins. Lineage: Bacteria; Pseudomonadati; Pseudomonadota; Alphaproteobacteria; Rhodobacterales; Roseobacteraceae. The record is from RNAcentral.
UGUUCUCAGGGCGGGGCGAAAUUCCCCACCGGCGGUAAGGGGCCAUGCGCCCCAAGCCCGCGAGCGGCCCUUGGCAAGCCCGAGGGUGUCAGCAGAUCUGGUGCGAUUCCAGAGCCGACGGUCAUAGUCCGGAUGGAAGAGAAC